GGUGUCUCCGGUCUAAUUAGUUUACAGUGUUUCUGCUGGCAUUCAGUUUGGGCCUAAAUGUGCGUGUGGUGCAAAGUGGGAAGUGUUUGAGUUUCUGAAGAGCUUUAGACAAGUGACGCUGAGAUACAAUGGCCGGGCUGGCCAGGUCCAAAGUCCGAGCCAUAGAUGGCAUGUCAGUCAUCGACAGCAGUGUUGUGUUUGACGUUUCUUCCUUUUAGUGCAUGUGGUGUCUCCUGUUCAGUGUCACACUGGCCUCCUUGCUCAGCAGUCGGUUUAAGUGUUUUGCUGUUUGCUAAAUCUGUGCCCCUUCAUUAGUAGCACUGUCAUUAGGAGGUCACACACACACGUGACCUGAAGUGUCCCUCAUUGUCUUGUCACUCCUGUCUGUUCCUGUCCUCAGCCUUGAACCCUUUUGCGGUGAUUUUCUAAGUUGCUGAUAGAGGGUGUUGGGUGGGAUGUUUAGUCUUGUGGGGGCAAGAAGCUUAUCAGUUAGAGGUACCCGCAUCAGUGGCAGCCCACCAAAUACUGGAGCAGAGUGUUCAUGUGCAGACAACAGUAAAUGGACACCAGGCUACCACAGAGACCCAGGAACAAGAAAGGAGCAGUGGUGGUAAGUGACAGAUGGGUACUUGAUGGGAAUCAGCCUAGUGGGGACUAACACUAGUGUAGCCCAGGCUGAGUGUAUUUGGAUUACUUUGAUGUUUUCAAUGAUUGGCUGAAGUGUGGGGUGGGGUGGGGUGUGGUGGAGGAGCGAUGCCUUAUCACCUUGGCUGUGUUAGCUACUGGAAAAUGAAGGUAAGUGUGCUGUUAGUGUUCUCUACCAGUGGGGGCAAAAGAGUGGUGAUCUCUCAUCUUGUGUCUGACAUCUUUAUCCUAGCUGGCUGGCUGAGGUGGGAUUUGAACCACCAACCUUUGGUUUCAGGGUCUGCUGUCUUAUCCCCUGGACCACAGGAUGGGCCCCUUUUGAUGUUAAGGUAAAGUGGCUAUUUGUGUUCUCUACUCACACACUUAAACAUAAGAGUAACUUCAAUCACUCACCUGGUGGGUGAGCUAUGGGGACCCUUGGUGCUGUGGUUGGCUGGAGGUGGGAAUCGAACCACCAACCUUGGGUCCUGGGGACUGUGGUCUGUGGUCUUAUCCCCUGGACCAUGGGACGGGUCCCCUUUGAUGUUAGGCUGAAAUGGCUAUUUGUGUUCUCUACUCACACACUUCAACAUAAGAGUUAACUUCAUCCACUUACCUGGACAUUGGUGGGGAGACCUUUGGUUGGCCAGGGGUGGGAAUUGAACCCCCAGCCUUGGGUCUCAGGGACUGCGGUCCUGCCCACUGGACCAUGGGUCUCUGUUGAUGUUCAGGUAAAGUUGCUAUUUGUAUUCUCCACUCACACACUUCAACAUAAGGGUAGAUUCAGCCACUCACAUGGAGGGGGGUCUGGGGGACCCUUGGUUGGCUGAGGGUGGGAAUCGAACCACCAACCUUGGGUCCCAGGGUCCAUCGCCUUACCUCCUAGGCCACAGGUCCCCUUUGAUGUUAGGCUGAAAUGGCUAUUUGUAUUCUCUACUCACACACUUCAACAUAAGAGUAACUUCAUCCACUUACCUGGACAUUGGUGGUAGGGCCUUUGGUUGGCCAGGGGUGGGAAUUGAACCCCCAGCCUUGGGUCUCAGGGACUGCAGUCCUACCCACUGGACCAUGGGUCUCUGUUGAUGUUCAGGUAAAGUUGCUAUUUGUGUUCUCCACUCACACACUUCAACAGAAGAAUAACUGGACCUUUGGUGCUGUGGCCAGAGGUGGGAAUUGAACCCACAGCUUUGGGUUUCAGGGACUGUGGUCUUGCCCACUGGACCAUAGGUCCCCUUUGAUGUUAGGCUAAAGUGGCUAUUUGUAUUCUCUACUCACACACUUCAACAUAAGAGUAGAUUCAGCCACUCACAUGGAGGGGUGGGGGUCUGGGGGACCCUUGGUUGGCUGAGGGUGGGAAUCGAACCACCAACCUUGGGUCCCAGGGUCCAUCACCUUACCUCCUAGGCCACGGGUCCCCUUUGAUGUUAGGCUGAAAUGGCUAUUUGUGUUCUCUACUCACAAACUUCAACAUAAGAGUUAACUUCAUCCACUUACCUGGACAUUGGUGGGGAGACCUUUGGUUGGCCAGGGAAUUGAACCCCCAGCCUUGGGUCUCAGGGACUGCAGUCCUACCCACUGGACCAUGGGUCUCUGUUGAUGUUCAGGUAAAGUUGCUAUUUGUAUUCUCUACUCACACACUUCAACAUAAGAGUAGAUUCAGCCACUCACCUGGUGGGGUGGGGGGUCUGGCUCCUCUGGGGGACCCUUGGUUGGGAAUUGAACCACCAACCUUGGGUUCCAGGGUCCAUCACCUUACCUCCUAGGCCACAGAGCCCCUUUGGUGUUAGGCUAAAGUUGCUAUUUGUAUUCUGUACUCAAACACUUCAACAGAAGAACAGCUUGGACCACUCAUCUAGGCAUUGGCAGAGGACCAUGGUUGGAUUUGAACAACCAACCUUGGGUCUCAGGGUCUGUCUAUCCUAGUCCAUGGGUCGAUCCUGGGCGUCAUCUAAAACGACUACUUGUGCGCUCUUCCUCAACAUACCACGCUUACGACCUCCUGUGGAUCUUCUUGUUAAACUCUAAUUUGGGGCUGAUGACUUAAUUGAGUCCUGCCCUAAUUACCCACCUGUUGAGUUGUGGGUGGGGUGUUGAAUAUAAAAGAAGCGUCUGUGGGGUUUAGGUGAGAGUGUGAGAAGAGAGGAGAAGGACUGGACUGGACUGGACUGGACUGGACUGGACUGGACUGGACUGGACUGGACUGGACUGAACAAGAUACCUACAGCCAUUCUUAGCGGGCACAGCAGCCGAUCAGCAUAGGGGAAGGAAAUCCAUGCCCAGUUACAAGUAACGCCCCAGGACUCAAGUUACAGCACCAACAGGAAACACUAUAAUGGUCCUCUUCAGGAGAGACAGAAAACGAAGAUUCAAACGGGUGAGGUUAGUUUUGAUCAUUAAGGAGAAGGAUUAAGUUCUGCCACCACAAUCUUAAAGCCUUUAGAAUAAACAAUCUGCAUCAAUCUCCGUAAUGGUCCCUUAAAGUCACAGGUCGGCUAAUUCCCAUUGUUCAGCACAAUCUGCCUGCUACCGUUACCAGACUCUAGAAGCACAUUUCCUGGGGUGAAGGUGUCUGUUACACUGGCAUGCUUAAUCUUUAAUAGCCUGCUAGCCCUGCAAAAGUAUUUUUAACAAGUUAAUUGAGAAAUGAGCAACACUUCUGCUGAUCCAGACAUCCCUAAAAAUCAAUGGAAUCAAUCUCCAAGGCCUGGUGUGAAUGCAUUUCUUUUUUAAUAAGCUCAGCCCGAUCAUUUGGUUUGUUCGUUUACUUGAACUAUGACAAGAGCACAGCAGCUUAGAUUUUCCCUGGAAAAGCAGACCGUCAUAAUGAUCGUUGGCCUGUUUUUUCUUAAUUAUUCUAGAAAACCACAAUCGGGCUGCCAGUCCAUUUCGGGGCACACAGUGUGCCAUAUAAAGCAUCAGUUAUGGGUGAUAAGCCAAAAGAUGGGCAUACAGAGCAUCGCUAAACCACAGCCAGAAGUGUACGUUGACUCAACAAGAAGACCCCCUCAUCUGCUCCCUGCACCCCACCAUUGUGGCUGUUCUAAUAUCUGUGACAUCAGGGUAACGGCUGACAUUUUUAUAGCAUGUACUGCAGCAAAGCACUGCGACGACACUGGGGAAAGAGGCCUGAGCCUGAAGUCGUAUAAAUUACAGCACAGCUUCCCAUUAGCAGACCACCACCAUGUCCAAGGAAACCCUGCAGCGUGAAGGCAAUUCAUUGAUUAGAGAACGACACAACAUACCUAAGAAAAAUGGCCCAUUGGUGCAGCUCAUUAAAUCUUCUUCCGUAGGCUCAUUUAUUCAGCAUGGAAAACAAAGGAGUUUAAGCAAAAUUGUUCCUUGGCCAUUUUACAGCCACACAGAGCAAGGUGACCAAGUGAGGCAUGUAAUAAGCAGACUGGAGCAAGUCGGAAACUAAGAGGCAGGCCCAGUUGAUCACUAGAGCCGGAGAGCUCCUGCUGUAAGCCCACCAAAGGCUCAAGAGUUCAAGUGAGGACACACAGCAGCGAGGGGCUCUCAUCCAGGAGUGCAGAAGCACUAAAAUGAAGGUAAACCACUUUAGAAAGAACCCCACACUGGUCACUGUUCUCAUUUACUUUAACUUAGGAUUUCUUGUCAGGCACACAGUGCUGGGCGUCCAGUGACAAAUGACAACAAAAUAACACAGCAGCUGUGAUUUCCAGUAAAGGCCUAAAAUGCAACAAGCUGGCAAAUGGAGACACAGUCUAACACUGUUAACCGAGAGCAGACGUUACUUACCAAGUGUGGUUCAAACUUCAACACAACAUUUUGGAAAGGCUUACCUGAUGGAGAUUUAAAGGUAAAAAUGAUAAAUUGUGGAGCUGCGGUGCCACCAGUGGCGUAGAGCACAAGCCGUACCUGUUGCCGCUAUGCUUACAGAAUUCCUUUCCUCUUGCAGUCCUUCCUAGAUAGGUGGCAGGAGCAGUGAGCUGGCGCAGACACCUACCUGUGUUUGGGAUCUGUUGUGCCAGCAGAAAAGUAAAACGGGAACAUCUCUAAGGUGAAGUGACCUGUCCGACUUCAGGUAAACUUUAAAGUAGUUUGUUUUUGUGCUACCACAUUGCAGACUGGCCUUGGCUUUUAAAAUUUCAAAAAUGGAUACAGUGCACUCAAGACUACAUCAAUGAAACUGUGCCGACAAAUUGUCAACGUGUGCCACUUUUUAACAAAUCAGGUCUAUGGGAAGUUGGGAUUGUUUCUGGGACAACUGCAGAAGCUGCUGUUUGUAUUACAUGUACCUGUUCUUAGAAACUGGUGCCAGUUAAAGGUGAAAGCAGUGCACCAUUUUGACUCCAUCUGCAGCGGGUGAUCUCCAUCAGGAAUGCACUCUUCUGCAUCACGGAGACAUCUGCAACUGAAUUGUGCCUGGCCAGUUAGUGUUUCUAAACCUAUGGAAAAACCCUGCUGCUCCGGGGACAGACCUGCUGAUGGGUCAGAAGGGCUAGUGUGGUUCAAGUCCCAAGCGAUGCUGGCAGUGGACAUGUAGGGCCACCACAGAUGGCACAGGCAGAUGAGUCAACUUGACAGCAAGAGCCGUGAAAGCAGAGAAGGACAGCCUACUCCAUCUUCACUCUUAGCAGCUCCUCUGCAGCCAUGGGUGCUCCUCAUCAUCGUGGAUUGUAUCUGUGCUGUGAAUUGAGAACAUUGCUACUGAAGCUUACAGGGCCUGAACUUCUGUCCUUUCAAUAGGAAUAAGGUGGAAGGUGGAAGGUGGGAGACGCGGUGUGACAGACCAGUGAUAAAUGUCUUCCUUUGCAGUGGCAGUGUGACGACAAUCCAUUUGGUGAUGUGAAGUAGCACUAGAUCUCUAACUGCACAGAGUUUGGGACUUUUCUCUUCAGCUGUCCUUAAACUGUGACACACACACACACACACCCAGACCCACACCAUUGCUUUUGGGAUAGGGGACCCUAAAACGGCAAGAUCAACUAAAAAAUGGGAGAUUUUUGACAAAUCUGCUUUCAUUCAACAGGAGAUAGUGGGGGUUUGUCCAAAGUGGUCAGCAAUACCAAUUCAAACUGCUGCUGCCUGGGCACACUGAGCUUACCUCAGAGUCUAAAUCUUCCAAAUAUUCCCCCAAUACCUAUAUGAGCAUCUUAUUGCUGACUGCAUCAAUCGGAUUUUAACAUCACCAUGAUUCCUCAGCUGACAGUUUGAUCAUCUUUAGUUGAAGUCAGCGCUGUGUCACCCAAGGUUUCUUCCUCUUAGACAAAGGUUGACCCAUUUCUGCACAACAGCUUGUCAGCACUCAGAGGAGCUCCUUCAACAUCUAGUAAUAAGCACUGGCAGAUCUUGAAAGAUGCCACACUAAAGACUGCUCACAAGGACCUUGGGUAUAUCAAGUCUGGUUAGACGGCAGCGAUGCUGAAAUCUCCAACCAUGUCAGCCAAGAAUCUGUCAAAUGAAUGAGGGCACAAACUUUUAAAGUGGCAUAGACCAGGAAGACACCAGGAGAACCUGAUGGUAGAACUUAAUCUAUUUCAGGUAAGAGUUUCUCUUAGCACAUCUGUAAAAUCACAAGCACUUGGCUUUGCAGCGAUGGACGACUGUAGGUCAGAGAAAGCUCAGGUUUGGCCCCUGCUAGCGAAUGUGGACGAUCCGAGUCCCCUUGCUGUGAGCCUGAUCACACCAACUGAAGCAGAGGGCCCGAGUGCAGUUGGCACUACUUUGUGAGUGAACAGACUGUACUAACAUACUUCAGCAUGUACUGGAACACCUGCAACAUCACAGAUCAAUAUUUUCCCUUUUUAGCGAGUACUAGGAGAUGUUUCUGUUGGUGGGACCUUUUGCUUUGUAUUUUAAUAAAAAUGUUUAAAAACAAGAUGCUUGGACUGUAAAAUUUCUACAUCCCUUAAGAGUUGGAGGUUCUGCUCGUGUAACAGAAUUUCAGGAAGCCUGCGUCUGUUGCCUUCUUACCUUUUCAGGAGCACACAUGGCAGUGCUGCUCACUGGGAUGUAGGAUGGCUUCAGCAUUUACAAAAGCCUAGUUGGCACAGUGACCAUUCCAGCCACAAGCUGAUGCUUUGCCCUCAGUGUCUUAAGUUGCCACCUGCAUUAUGGAAAACAAAGUACCACACCCAGAAAACACACAAGCAGACCAUCUGCAAGGGGGCUGCACUCUGUUAUCACCGUAGCCACUACAGAACCAGAUGCUCACGGUUUGCCUUCAACGGCCGGGAGGAUCCUCAACAUGAUCCUACUGACGUGUCCUGGCUUCUGAGGAGCUCUUCCCAGAUCUGAAG
Molecule: long non-coding RNA, 6887 nt
Organism: Polypterus senegalus (gray bichir)
Lineage: Eukaryota; Metazoa; Chordata; Cladistia; Polypteriformes; Polypteridae
Exons: 4
Source: RefSeq, a predicted model, not a curated record